GUAGGAAGGCUCCUACUGCAAAACUUCUAAAGAUUUGUAUUCUCCUUAUUUUCAUUUGGAGUUUAAGCUGUUUGCACUAUGAAAGAAAAAUUUGUAUGUUGAAACAGUAAAAAUAAAAAUACUGCAGGACUGAGUCAUUGCAGCUGAGAUGAAUGCCCAUAAAAAAGUACAAAUCACAAAAAAAACUCAGAAACAGGGUCAUUGUGUGUAUCAUCAGCAAUGCUUACAGAUUCAUCAUGGCUCACAACAAAGAUUUUACCAUUUUAUGAAGGUGCAGCACCUUGUACAACUUUUAACAGUUAAAGAAAACAUACGUAAGAUGUUGAUGAGAGAAGGUGAAUAUGUUAAAGCUUUAUUCAAUUGUUAGUAUCUAACUGUACUAUUGAUAAUGUAGGCAGUAAUCACAUGUAGUCCAGCCAAAUUGAAAUAUACUAUUUAAUAUCAUUUUUUGCAGAUAUUCAUAGCACUGAAGUGCUGCAAAAAGAGUAUCUUCUUCUUUUCACGUGCUUUUCCACAAUUUUCUAUUCAUAAAAAUUCCAAAGACACUCUAUUCAAAAUUGAGUAUUAUGUACAGCAAUAAAUGUCUGCAAAACAUUUUGGUGUCUGUGCUCCCAUUUCUACAACAACAAACAUUAUUGUUAAUCAUGGUAAUCUGAAACGUCACUGUUCUUUAAAUGCUUGUUCCUUGAGCAGAUUUCUUAGAUGAAAAUAACUUUGCCAACAUGUGAAAAAUAUUGAUACCUCCAGCUUUUGUGUAUGUCAAGUCUGACUGAAAAUAUUGUGUUAAUUAUCUUUUGGACUGCAUGGGUAAAUUAUUCAUUAUUAUAUUGUUAUACUGUGGAGUAUAUGGGUUGCAUUAUCUCCAAAGAUUAUGCAUUACUUAAAAAUGUUUGAAAGCCAUUACAAUCGUCACAUUAAUGAAAGAAAACAGUCAGCUUUCCAAGAACAUUUUAUUUAUUUAGAGCCUCUAAGAUUUCCCAAGAGAAUAUGUCAUAUAAUCAAACAAAAAUGCUUGGCAUAAUAGAUUCUGCAGCACUGCAUUACAUUCUGUGGAAAGUCAUUUAUGAAAAAAUGAACUAAGCCCAUGUUAUUCAAUGUUAUCUAGAUAUCUUAAUAAAACAUACGGCGACAGCAGACA
Molecule: long non-coding RNA, 1138 nt
Organism: Pezoporus occidentalis (night parrot)
Lineage: Eukaryota; Metazoa; Chordata; Aves; Psittaciformes; Psittacidae
Exons: 2
Source: RefSeq, a predicted model, not a curated record